This 496-nucleotide ribosomal RNA is filed under the name uncultured bacterium. Its description in RNAcentral is "partial 16S ribosomal RNA". It matches the Rfam family "Bacterial small subunit ribosomal RNA", at positions 899 to 1397 of the family's 1533-position model. The record is from RNAcentral.
ACUCAAAUGAAUUGACGGGGGCCCGCACAAGCGGUGGAGCAUGUGGUUUAAUUCGAAGCAACGCGAAGAACCUUACCAAGGCUUGACAUCCCAUUGACCGCAUUAGAGAUAGUGCUUCCCUUCGGGGCAAUGGUGACAGGUGGUGCAUGGUUGUCGUCAGCUCGUGUCGUGAGAUGUUGGGUUCAGUCCCGCAACGAGCGCAACCCUUAUCCUUAGUUGCCAGCAUUCAGUUGGGCUCUCUAAGGAGACAGCCGGUGAAAGCCGGAGGAAGGUGGGGAUGACGUCAAAUCAUCAUGCCCCUUAUGUCUUGGGCUACACACGUGCUACAAUGGAUGGUACAAAGGGAAGCAAGACCGCGAGGUGGAGCAAAUCCCAUAAAGCCAUUCUCAGUUCGGAUUGUAGGCUGCAACUCGCCUACAUGAAGCCGGAAUCGCUAGUAAUCGUGGAUCAGCAUGCCACGGUGAAUACGUUCCCGGGCCUUGUACACACCGCCCGU